UGAAUACGAGAUGCUACGGCGUCGAAGCAGUCUAUGUCAUACUUCCAAGAAAAGCUUGCACUGUCAUAAACAAAUAAUGCCUGUACCAUAACCGACACAGGUGGGUAGGUAGAGUAUACUAAGGGGCGCGAUAACUCUCUCUAAGGAACUCGGCAAAAUGACUCCGUAACUUCGGGAGAAGGGGUGCCUUAUUUAUAAGGUUGCAAUAACAAGAUCCAAGCAACUGUUUACCAAAAACACAGGUCUCCGCUAAGUCGUAAGACGAUGUAUGGGGGCUGACGCCUGCCCAGUGCCAGAAGGUUAAAGAAGUUGGUUAGCAUCCGCGAAGCUGAUAACUGAAGCCCUGGUGAACGGCGGCCGUAACAAUAACGGUCCUAAGGUAGCGAAAUUCCUUGUCGGGUAAGUUCCGACCCGCACGAAAGGCGUAAUGAUUUGGAUACUGUCUCGGAGAGGGGCUCGGUGAAAUAGACUUGUCUGUGAAGAUGCGGACUACCUGCACCAGGACAGAAAGACCCUAUGAAGCUUUACUGUAACCUGAAAUUGUAAUUGGACUUUACUUGCGCAGUAUAGGUGGGAGGCGUUGAGAAUAUUCUUGCGGGAUUAUUGGAGCCAUCAGUGAGAUACCACUCUUGUAAUGUUAGAUUUCUAACUUUGUAUCAUUAUCUGGUCAAAGAACAGUUUCAGGCGAGCAGUUUGACUGGGGCGGUCGCCUCCUAAACGGUAACGGAGGCGCACAAAGGUUUCCUCUGAACGGGUAGAAAUCGUAUCUAGAGUGUAAAGGCAUAAGGAAGCUUGACUGUGAGACCUACAAGUCGAGCAGGGACGAAAGUCGGUCUUAGUGAUCUGACGGUGCUGAGUGGAAAGGCCGUCACUCAACGGAUAAAAGUUACUCUAAGGAUAACAGGCUGAUCUCCCCCAAGAGUUCACAUCGACGGGGAGGUUUGGCACCUCGAUGUCGGCUCAUCGCAUCCUGGGGCGGUAGUACGUCCCAAGGGUUGGGCUGUUCGCCCAUGAAAGCGGUACGCGAGCUGGGUUCAGAACGUCGUGAGACAGUUCGGUCCAUAUCCGGUGUAGGCGUUAGAAUAUUGAGAGGAGCCUUCUUUAGUACGAGAGGACCGAGAAGGACAUACCUCUGGUGUACCAGUUAUCGUGCCAACGGUAAACGCUGGGUAGCUAUGUGUGGAGUGGAUAACCGCUGAAAGCAUCUAAGUGGGAAGCCCACCUCAAGAUAAGUAUUCUCA
This 1241-nucleotide ribosomal RNA is filed under the name metagenome. RNAcentral's name for it is "bacterial LSU rRNA". It matches the Rfam family "Bacterial large subunit ribosomal RNA", at positions 1564 to 2816 of the family's 2925-position model. The record is from RNAcentral.